UGGGGAAUAUUGCGCAAUGGGGGCAACCCUGACGCAGCCAUGCCGCGUGAAUGAAGAAGGCCUUCGGGUUGUAAAGUUCUUUCGGUGAUGAGGAAGGUGUUAAGGUUAAUAGCCUUAACAAUUGACGUUAAUCACAGAAGAAGCACCGGCUAACUCCGUGCCAGCAGCCGCGGUAAUACGGAGGGUGCGAGCGUUAAUCGGAAUAACUGGGCGUAAAGGGCACGCAGGCGGAUUUUUAAGUGAGGUGUGAAAGCCCCGGGCUUAACCUGGGAAUUGCAUUUCAGACUGGGAAUCUAGAGUACUUUAGGGAGGGGUAGAAUUCCACGUGUAGCGGUGAAAUGCGUAGAGAUGUGGAGGAAUACCGAAGGCGAAGGCAGCCCCUUGGGAAUGUACUGACGCUCAUGUGCGAAAGCGUGGGGAGCAAACAGG
This 429-nucleotide ribosomal RNA is filed under the name uncultured bacterium. RNAcentral's name for it is "bacterial SSU rRNA". It matches the Rfam family "Bacterial small subunit ribosomal RNA", at positions 355 to 776 of the family's 1533-position model. The record is from RNAcentral.